Long non-coding RNA from Fundulus heteroclitus (mummichog), 1466 nucleotides. RefSeq lists it as uncharacterized. The transcript is spliced from 3 exons. NCBI's taxonomy places the organism in Eukaryota, Metazoa, Chordata, Actinopteri, Cyprinodontiformes, Fundulidae. The record is from RefSeq and is a predicted model, not a curated record.
GUUCACAGCAAACAAGAAACCAGUUUUCAUCUCAGCUACAAGGUUUUAUUUAACUUUAGCUUUGCUGUAGCUUUUUAUACUUUAGCCUUUCAGCCCAUUUUAGGACGUUUAAUGCAGUGAACGACCAGAAUCAUGAAUUCCUGCUUCAGAGCCUGAACGCAUCACAAUAACUGAUAAUUUUUUGUUUUUCGUAACAUAAUUGCACGUUGCUUCCCAGCAGGAGGUGUGAUAAUAGUUCUGUAAGGAUCCAAACGGACCGCAGUGAUGUUUGACCUGAACCACGGUGCCUCUGCCCGUCAUGUCUGUGACUAAAGCAACAUUUUAAUCACAUUAAAAUGUUUAGAUUUAAUAAACUGAAGCCAUCGGUGAGAUGAAGGUUGACGUUUUGGGUUCUGUGCGGCGCUGUGAUCAUGUCUGUUAAGGCUGGUGGUGCUGGGCGGGCCGGGCUUUGUGCCUGGAGGGGGGGUCUAGUUCUCCUUUUACUCGGCAUGCUGUGUGCUCGAACCCUACGGUGUGUCUGAGUUCUUAGUGGAUGAAAAUACUCGGUGGUUCCUUCAGUCACACUUUUCCACCGUCCAGCGCUGGAAACGGGUCACAAGCAGAACUUAACUGGACCUCCUGUGGUGAAAAAUGUCGGUCCUGAUCCAGUAGAAACAUAACCGAUGUAAAUCAAACCACAGCGAUCCUCCGGGUCAGUGCCGGGUCUGUAGAACCGGCUCACAUGGCCUGGUUCUCUUCGCUCUUUCAUGAUGAUGUGAGGUUGCUGGUUCUGACCCUGAGAGGAGGUUUCUGUCUGCACUGUGAUCCAUUCCUCCAAACAGAACCCGCUCACCCGAUUGGCCCAGAAUGUUCUCCUUCCUGUCUCAGUGUGAUGCCAGAACGUCCCUGUUGGCCUCUGAUGACCCCUCAGGUCUAACAGGCCGCUCUGCGAGGUUGUGCUGCAGCUCUACCGGGUCGGUACCGUUGUCCAGCUGCUGGGCCCGGGUCAGCGUCCCGCCUGCUGAAGACUCAGAGCUGCUGCCACAGAUGCGUUUGUGCAGUUUCUAAAAGCCGAGUCCAGUUCAGAGCUCAGCCGUGUUGGCGGCAGCUCCUCCUCUUCCUCACCUGUAGUCCUAACAGCUGCUGACCAAUCACUGCCAGCCUCUCACUGUUUGUUUCUCUCACCCCAGGAGCCUCGACCAAUCGGAGGAGGCUGAGGGUUCCAUCUGAGCGGCCACGGAGUAAAAAUAAAACCUGAAGUCUGAGAACGUGUCGGAGCACCAGGAGAACGAAGCUGUCUGACUCUCCACCGCAUUGAUGAAGAUUCUUAAUGCAGAGAUGCAGGUGAAGCUGCAGUACCGGGGCGUAUCCAGCAGGGGGCGAUCACCUGACGUCCAGUGGACAGAUUCUGUUUUUCUCUUAAAGAAUAAAUGGAGAGAAAACAGUUUGGUUGCUUUAGUCUGUUCCUGAUUAAAUGUUCAACUUGU